UACGGGGGGUGCAAGCGUUGUCCGGAAUCAUUGGGCGUAAAGCGUUCGUAGGCGGUAAAGUAAGUCAGAUGUUAAAGCCCGGGGCUCAACUCCGGUUCGGCAUUUGAUACUACUUAACUGGAAUGCGGUAGAGGUUAAGGGAAUUCCUGGUGUAGCGGUGAAAUGCGUAGAUAUCAGGAAGAACAUCGGUGGCGAAAGCGCUUAACUGGGCCGUUAUUGACGCUGAGGAACGAAAGCCGGGGGAGCAAAU
This 250-nucleotide ribosomal RNA is filed under the name uncultured prokaryote. RNAcentral's name for it is "partial 16S ribosomal RNA". It matches the Rfam family "Bacterial small subunit ribosomal RNA", at positions 524 to 773 of the family's 1533-position model. The record is from RNAcentral.